AUUGAUUUGUCUCCCAAGUCCCUUCCUUAGGCCAAGGCUAAGCCAAUCAAUGGUAAGAUUCGGCUCACUAGUCACUAGUCUCUAGUCUCAUUUCAUAGUUUGAGGAACAAACCAAACUUAUGAACAUCUAAGCACAAAGCAUGAACUCAAUUCAUUUACAAAUUUAGUGACACCAACAAUGUCACCUACAUCACUUGUAAGAGCAACACCAAACUUCUUAUCACUCCCCAAUUUCCCAAACCAAAACCAAAAUACUACCUUCACUCUUCUUCCUCCAUUUCUUUAUCCUCUUCCACUCUCCAUACCUUUCUUCAAAUACCCUCCAAAAAAGUUCAGCUCUUUAUCUUCCCCAAUUCUCUGUUUUUCCUUUUCUUCUAAUUCCCAAAAUUUCCCAUUUACAGCGUCAAGUUUGAAUCAGGAAGAAUAUGAAGAAGAACAAGUAAUUGGAGAUUGCCUUGUUUUUGAAGAUGGAAUUUUUGAGGACCCAUAUCUUGAACAAGAACUAAACCCUCCAAUUUCUUCAAUUUCUAAAAUUACCCAAAACCCUAGAAACAAUCAAAAUUCAACUCAAGUAAUUGAACCCCAGAAUUUAGUCCCAGAAGAAUGGAAACAAGUUGUGGAAGAAAUCAAUUUAACCAAGAAAGAAAGGCGCAAACUUGCUCAAGAAUUAGAGUUUGGACAGAAGUUUCAGAAGAAGAAAUUGAUUAGAAAUGUUAACAUAGAAGAGUUUUUGAAGUUAAGAAAUGAAAAGUUAUCCCAAUUGAAGCCACUUGUUCUUGAUAACCCACCUGCGUUUCCUUCAAAAAUUAAAGGAAAUGGUGAUGAAAAUGAUGAUAACAGUAGGAAAGAGCAUGUGAAUGUUGGUGAAAGUUCAAGAGUUGAACCCAAGAACCCUAGAUGGGCUGUUUAUGGUCGUGGAUUGAAUGAUGUUACCGAGUUCUUCAACAGUGGAAAAUACCAGCCUAAUGAUAAAUCUGAUGGACCUCAAAAGCUGUUUACAAAGGAGGAGAAGGCUUUGAUGAAUGCGAGGAAACCUAAACUAGCAGUUGCAACAUCAAAAAAGUGGCUGCCUUUGCAUACACUUGCUGCAUCGGGAGAAUUUUACCUUGUGAACACUUUAUUAAAGCAUGAUGUUGAUAUCAAUGCUUCUGAUCAGGAUGGUUUAACCGCUCUUCAUAUAGCGAUAACGUGCAAAAAGCAGGCCAUUCUAAAUUAUCUUUUGAGAGAGUCGGCUGAUCCGUUGGUCCAGGAUAAGAAUGGAGCAACUUUAAUGCAUUAUGCUGUUCGAGUUGCAUCGAGCCAGAUAAUUAAGACGCUUUUGCUACACAAUGUUGAUAUCAACCUCCAAGACAACAAUGGAUGGACUCCAUUGCAUCUUGCUGUUCAAGCGCGAAGAACAGAUGUUGUGAGGCUCCUCUUAAUGAAAGGAGCAGACAAGACACUCAAGAACAAGCCUACAGAGUACAACCAAUAACUAGUUUUACCAAACAUUAAAGAUUUAUGUUCGGCCGAGACAAUUCGUCCCAUAAUCACCUCGAGAGCCCACUUGUGUGGACACAUCCACCGGUCACCCGUGGGCUCGGGCCCACUAACUCACAGGAUGGUCUAACUCCUUUGGAACUCUGCCUAUAUUCUGGUCGAGACACCAAAACUUACGAGCUCAUCAAGCUAUUGAAAGAGCUACCUAGGCAACAUUCGUGAUUGACUGAUUGUAUAGACUAUGCAGAAUAGUUUAGUCUAGCUUGUAUGAUAAGCUGCUUGCGAAUUGCGAUGAUGGAUAACUGCUGCAUAAGAUAUCCCACAAACCUGAAGUUCCGAUGUAUCUGGACCGAAGGUUACUUUGCUUGCAAAGCCGCUGAAAUUUUAUUUAACAGCCCGACCAACUGAUGGCGGAAUGAUGAAAUUCGUAUAGAAAUAGUAGUUCUUGUAAGUUCGUAUCUUGGCUUGUUCAUCCUGUUUAAUUAACUCUGUGUUCUAUAUAUAUGAUUAUAUGUUUCUAUAUAUUGAAAGGAUUUCAUGAAGGUCAUGAAUUUGUUUUCGGGCUGUCUCAUAUUUGAAAUACGAUCCAUUUAAAGCUCGGUUGGUUUAGAGUCUUCUUUAUAACGAGUCGGAUUAUAACCCCCAUGUCUAAAUAAACCGCCAUACCCGUUAAAAGUCUCUAGUUGAGUUAAGUCUACUCACCAAUUGCACGUAAAAUUGCAAGUUUGCAAUGAUUAACCACAAUAAUAAUGUUAUAGUUUUAAUCACAAAAGAUUCCAUUAACUGUUUGAAAUUGCUAAGUUGCAAAGAUAAU
This is an RNA transcript of Amaranthus tricolor (Joseph's coat), 2293 nucleotides long. It is a transcript of the gene named ankyrin repeat domain-containing protein, chloroplastic, with no coding region annotated. Lineage: Eukaryota; Viridiplantae; Streptophyta; Magnoliopsida; Caryophyllales; Amaranthaceae. The record is from RefSeq and is a predicted model, not a curated record. The transcript is spliced from 8 exons.